AAGACGUUAUGCUAAGAGAUGUAUACAAAAGGAUGUUCAUUACAGCCCUGUUUGUAACACAAAAUCACCUAAAUGUUUUUCAAUAGCAGGUUGGCUAAAUAAAUGUUGCUGUGUGGGGUAUAGAGACUGCCCCACAGGUGAGAGGACACUGGCAUCGGCACAGUCAUUGCAACAUUGUAAAUUGCAGAAGAUGGAAGGGACAAGCCAGGUGUCCUUCAACAAGGGCCGGGUUGAGAAGAUUGUGGUAUGGACCUGCGCGGAUGGGACGCCCUCACCAGACAGAUAAGAUCAUCUUCGAGAGGCUGGUUCACGCCCAUGGUCACACAGCUAGCAUGUUCUGUGGAGCCGCAUUCUCUUCUGUCUGACUCAGUGUCCACGGUCUUAACCCUUCAGAAAUACUGCCCAGAAGCCCUCAUCUAGAAGGUUGUGUUUGAGUUUCACUUCCUUGCCCUACCCAAUUUUGGAAAGAACCAUUCAGAAACACCUUGUCUCUUGGGAGAUAUGACAGGUGUUUGUCACUCCAGCAAGAAGUUGGUGAAAGACAAGUCCUAAGUGAUUAACAAACUGGAGGCUUAUGAUUGGUCCCUGGCAUUCCUUGAUGGAGCUGCCCUCGCACCCGGCUCGAGGCUGCGAACUGAUGGACGAGAUCCGGUGGGAGCGGAGGGCUGAGGUCUGGGGCUGCCUCACGCUCACAAGCCAGGCCAGCAGUCAGCAGCAGUGUUGGAGCCCCGCAGACGCCCCGAGGAACAUUCACCGGAUCAUCAUAAUUGAUUCAGGAUUGAGAAUGAUCACUUCAUCCGAAACUGUGGCGUCAGCACAUCCAGCGGACUUUCACGGAGGUAGCAGAAGGGGAGUACGGUUCGGUCUAACCCAGCACGAGAACAUGGCAAUAAGUCAGCACCAGACAAGUUUCUAACAGGCCAUCGUAGUGGAUCCCCACUGGGCACCCUGUCUUGGCCAGAGGGAGAUGAGGACUGUCCAUCGGAACUUUCACCUCUGCUGUGACCGGUCCUCUCUUACUGUGGAUGGCAGGGAAGAGUCUCGGGGCUCUGAAACCAGCCAGGUCAAAGAGUUACAAGUGUCAAAACUCUCAGCAAGAUCUACCAGUGAUGCCGUGACCACAGGUCUCUACUGAAAUUCCUCUUUGCAAGUCAAGAGCAGGUUAACGUGUGCUCAUUGCCUCACUGAAGGAUGCUCAACAGAGAACAGAGAUAUAAAGGCCCAUUUUGCUGACUUUUGAGUUUCUCAAGUCUAAGCCCUGAGAGUGAAGGAAGGAGCCCAUAUAUACCAGAGAUUUGGGAAUACAUGAUGCUCCGUUUGAAGGUCCUUGUCCCCAGACCCUGCGUUUCUCUGGUGGAGGAGGUGGCUUAGAGGGUGUCCGCUUCCUUACCUGUAAUAUGAUGAGUGUGAAUGAGAUGAUCUAAAGUGCCUUCUAGCACCAGAAUUUUUAGGUUACCUUGCUCUCCUUGGUUAAGGUGACUUCUAAGCAAAAGUAACAUUCCCCUGUUCUCCUUCAGCACAAAUGGAGUUCAUUCUGAAGGUAUGAUGGCCAGCUGUGUCCUGGAGGGGCCCAAGGAAGGGAGCCGUAUCCAUGUGCCCUGGGUCAAUAGGAGAGGAGCACUUUCACCCUCUUCAUGACGGGCCUGGACUGCCCUGCUCAGGCAGGCAGUACUCCUCCAGGCUUCGGUGAACAAUUUCCUUCCCCCUCACAUUAGUUUAAUUGAGCUUUCCUUUCUGUGUCUGCACGUCAGUUGGUAUUCAGCGAACCAUGUGGUUUAUAGAUGUAUAGAUAGAAUUUGACUCUAGAACUCCUUUCCAGUGCGACCUCUGUGCCUCUCUUCAGCUCCCUCCUUUUCCAGGAAAAGUCAUUGAGAGGUACAAGAAAACACCUUGAGAGGGAAGUUGCUGGAGUAAGCUCUUCUCAGCUUUAAUGUUCUGUCUGGUGCCCAGUUUGUCCCCUGCUCUUAGCGAUUGUUCCAGAUCUUACUGACUCAGCCACUAAGCCCAGAGGCAAAUACAGCCUGCACAGCAGCCAGACAAAAACAUCAUCCAGCUUUCCUUGAGUGUGUCACGAGGCUCAAAAGUUCAUGGGGGGAGACUGAGUGUCUUCUCUGCUGGAAGAAAGAGAAAUUUCCACAGCCUUGUUUAUGUGUCUCACACUGGCAGUUGUGACCUUGAGGAGACUGACAGGAGAUUAGGAAGAAGUUGAGUCACCCAUUGGCUGACCCUGAGCUGCUGUCCAAAGGUGCAGAGAGAAGUCUAAUGUCCUGGGGUCCCUUUUCUUCUGGGCCACACCCCACCUUCCUCAUCAAUUCUCCUGCUGACCCUCCCUCCGUCCCCCUGCCUCUAGGUCAGCUCAGGCCCCACCAGUGUUUUUCAUCACAACACAUCUCCUCCCCAAGUCCCAUGCCUACGCUCCCUUGGGAGUAUGUUAGGGUGCUGUUUGCAGGACUGUGGAUUAAAGACCCCUGAGGGCCUCUCACCUGACCACAGGAAGUGAGCAGUCAAAGAAAUCGGGGUGUUGUCUGUUUUCCAGGAAGAUACCUUGGUGGGAUUGUUUUUUGUUGUUAAUGGUGGCAGCCUCUUUUUGACAAAGUUAUGAAGAUCAAGUUUAUUUCAGCCCCUGGCUUCCCUUUCUGAAAGAUCUUUUUCACUGACUGCUCUAGCACCCCCAAAACCCAACUCUUCCCUGUGAAAACCUCCUUCCAUGAAAUCCCUAUCAUCUCAUCCCUUCUUCCUUCCUUCUUUUCCUUCUUUCUUCCUCUCUCUCUCUUCCUUCCUUCCUUUCUUCCCUCCUUUCUCUCUUUCUUUCAGAUU
Ailuropoda melanoleuca (giant panda) is the source of this 2817-nucleotide long non-coding RNA. RefSeq lists it as uncharacterized. Lineage: Eukaryota; Metazoa; Chordata; Mammalia; Carnivora; Ursidae. The transcript has 10 exons. The record is from RefSeq and is a predicted model, not a curated record.